AUUUAGGUAGCUUAUAAUAAGAGCAUAACACUGAAGAUGUUAGGGAAAUAUUUAUUAUUCUUGAAUA
RNAcentral lists this transfer RNA (67 nucleotides) under Anabropsis carli. RNAcentral's name for it is "Pteranabropsis carli tRNA-Phe". Lineage: Eukaryota; Metazoa; Arthropoda; Insecta; Orthoptera; Anostostomatidae. The record is from RNAcentral. RNAcentral also lists the same sequence under 1 other name.